CAGAGUUGGAGCAGCAGUGCUAUCAGAUAACAUCUCUAGGAUACUUCACACCAUCUGACUGUGAUUAAGAGAAUCCUGGGGCUCUCUGAUGGUCAGAAGCGAUUUCUCCUGUUCCUCGUGGAGUUUCAGGGAAGACUGGAGCUCGGUGAUGUUCUGGAGGUGUGUGUCGUUUCUAUGAUUUAUGUUCUGUUCACGCUGCUUUCGCUCCAUAGCUAAAGUAGCCUCCAGAGUGUGCACCUUCUGUACCAGAAUGGCUUUCUCUUCUUUCUCUUCUGUUAUCUUCUCUAUCAUCAGAUUAAGAAAUGCAUCCCAAUCUGUAACUCCUUUCUGCA
Long non-coding RNA from Silurus meridionalis, 332 nucleotides. RefSeq lists it as uncharacterized. The transcript has 3 exons. The record is from RefSeq and is a predicted model, not a curated record. Lineage: Eukaryota; Metazoa; Chordata; Actinopteri; Siluriformes; Siluridae.